UACGAAGGGUGCUAGCGUUGUUCGGAAUCACUGGGCGUAAAGAGCGCGCAGGCGGUCGUUCAAGUCGCGUGUGAAAGCCCCCGGCUCAACUGGGGAGGGUCACGCGAUACUGAUCGACUCGAAGGCAGGAGAGGGUAGUGGAAUUCCCGGUGUAGUGGUGAAAUGCGUAGAUAUCGGGAGGAACACCAGUGGCGAAGGCGACUACCUGGCCUGUUCUUGACGCUGAGGCGCGAAAGCUAGGGGAGCAAACGGG
This 253-nucleotide ribosomal RNA is filed under the name uncultured bacterium. RNAcentral's name for it is "partial 16S ribosomal RNA". It matches the Rfam family "Bacterial small subunit ribosomal RNA", at positions 524 to 776 of the family's 1533-position model. The record is from RNAcentral.